This is a long non-coding RNA of Lucilia cuprina (Australian sheep blowfly), 923 nucleotides long. RefSeq lists it as uncharacterized. Lineage: Eukaryota; Metazoa; Arthropoda; Insecta; Diptera; Calliphoridae. The transcript has 4 exons. The record is from RefSeq and is a predicted model, not a curated record.
UGAACAAAUUGACCGGCGAUAUAUGUUGCGGAUUUAUCGUCAAAAGUUAAGGGAUGCAACUGAUCCAUUUACAUAUAUUCCCAGAGCUUUAAGGACAUUUAUAGGUUAAGUAAGGAAGCUGCUCACACCUUUCUAUUAGAAAUUAGUCCACACAUGCACAAGGAAAAGAGAAGUACAUUCAUUUCGCAACCUCUACGAUUGUGUACAGCUUUACGUUUCCUUGCGACCGGCUCAUUCCCAAUAUGAGCCUAUAAAACAAAAUUUAAAGAUUUUAUAAAGAAUAUGGAUUUCCCAGAGUAAUUGGUGCAAUAGACUGUACACAUGAACGUAUUAAGAAACCAAAGCCAGAAGUUGAAAGCUGCCACUUAAACAAAAAUGUUACCACUCAAAAAAUGUACAAUUGUAUAUUAUUUCAGAUAUGCGACUAUAAUUUAAAAAUCAUUGGAGGAUUUGCAAGAUUUGGAGGAGCUACACAUGGCUCUUAUAUUUGGGAUGCUUCGCGAAUAAACUUAUUGUUGCAACAAUGGUAGGAAUCUGACGGGGGUAAUCGUUCUUUGUUAUUAGGUGAUUCCGGAUACCCUUUGCGGCCAUGGCUUUUAACACCAUAUAGAUCAGCAAAUGAAGAUGAAAGGCGUAUUGUGUGGAACGAUUAAAUGGUGUAUUACAAGGGGAUUGAACACCUCACCACAAAUUGCUGGCAAAAUAAUCAAUGCCUGUGUAGUACUUCAUAAUUUUAGACUGGCACAUGGUUUGCUAACUGAAGACUACAUGGUCGAUUUAGAAGACAAUUUGUCUACUAACAAACAAGAAUAUGAAGAGUCAUUACCAGAAGCCUCUCGCAUUCGAGAUAGAUUAAAAUGUAGAUUUAGUAAUCACAAUUAAAAAAAUUUUUUUUCUAAAUAAAUACAUACAUAUUUCAUUUA